RNAcentral lists this ribosomal RNA (122 nucleotides) under Dyadobacter luticola. RNAcentral's name for it is "partial 16S ribosomal RNA". It matches the Rfam family "Bacterial small subunit ribosomal RNA", at positions 1407 to 1533 of the family's 1533-position model. Lineage: Bacteria; Pseudomonadati; Bacteroidota; Cytophagia; Cytophagales; Spirosomataceae. The record is from RNAcentral.
GGAGUCGGGGAGACCUGAAGCGGUAGGUUAAAGACACCGUUAGGGUAAAAUCGGCGACUGGGGCUAAGUCGUAACAAGGUAGCCGUACCGGAAGGUGCGGCUGGAACACCUCCUUUCUGGAG